Molecule: long non-coding RNA, 1045 nt
Organism: Gasterosteus aculeatus aculeatus (three-spined stickleback)
Lineage: Eukaryota; Metazoa; Chordata; Actinopteri; Perciformes; Gasterosteidae
Source: Ensembl
AGUACAGGGAGUGGUCUGCCCAGCUCUUGCCUAGUGAAUUUAGACAGGGAGUCAGCUACGGGUGGUGUAUACCCAUGGGUCUCUUCCCUAACAAAUCCCCCCCCCCUGCAACACAGGAAGAAAAGUAAAUAUAAUAAACAGUAAACAAAAAAUGUAACAUACAUACUAAACCUCUCACCAGCUGCAUCCAAUAAUGAAAAGGGGGAGGAGUCCAGCCAUCUUGCAUGCAGAGAUCCUGGAGAGACAGGACACAAACCAAAACAAACACCCCCAAAAUGUAACAACAUCUCAUUAACUACAACCAAAAAAACUGAAAACAAGCAGUUCUGUGAUUCACCACCUGUGUAUGAGCCAGAGACAGUUCCCUGCCACUCAGAUGAUUCAGCUGUUAGAUUGUCAGUUGAUCAGGCGAUAGCUGAUCAUUCACAUACACCCAUGUUUUUUGGCUGAUGAAAGCUUGAUGUGUGUAUUUCAUCAAAAUAACAGGUAUGUAGGCAUUUACCUUUUGGAAUUAGUUCAGGAUUAUUAAAAUAACUUUCAGACAAUUCGCUGCAACCAGAAGCCAAACCUUUAAGCAAGAUGAGUCAAAUCCACUGAGGAUUCACAUGUGGGUCUGGAGGUGAACAAAAGGGUAAUGAGGAGUACUAAAUUCGUCUUUCAUUAUGAACUUGCACCUCUCAGCUAUUUCUUUGUAUAUUCUUGUCUCAUGCAUUUUUCUUCACACUUCACUUCCCCUGUCCUAUUCUACCUCGUUACUUCUUUAUCUCCUUUCUUUCUUUUCCUACCCUUUUAUUUUGUCUGUCUCAUUCCAUCUCUCUAUUCACAUAACCUCCGUCUCGUCAUUGUCCCUCACACUCUAGCCCUCCGGAAAAAAGAAAAUGGGAAAACGGCAAAUCCCACAGCCUCUUACGGCACCCGUGUUUACCAACCCAUAAUGCCGUUCUCAAAUUUCUUUAGCUCCCAAUAUCGUUCCUUGUGUGUAUGUACCCCAACUGCACCACCGCCCUCCACCUUUCCUUUAUUGCCCAACAAAGGCAGCAAAUGC